This 253-nucleotide ribosomal RNA is filed under the name uncultured bacterium. RNAcentral's name for it is "partial 16S ribosomal RNA". It matches the Rfam family "Bacterial small subunit ribosomal RNA", at positions 524 to 776 of the family's 1533-position model. The record is from RNAcentral.
GACAGAGGGGGCAAGCGUUGCUCGGAAUUACUGGGCGUAAAGGGCGCGUAGGCGGGAUGGCAAGUCGGUCGUGAAAUCCCUCGGCUCAACUGAGGAACGUCGAUCGAUACUGCCGUUCUUGAGGGAUGCAGAGGAGACUGGAAUUCCCGGUGUAGCGGUGAAAUGUGUAGAGAUCGGGAGGAACACCGGUGGCGAAGGCGGGUCUCUGGGCAUCUCCUGACGCUGAGGCGCGAAAGCGUGGGGAGCAAACGGG